Molecule: long non-coding RNA, 153 nt
Organism: Odontomachus brunneus
Lineage: Eukaryota; Metazoa; Arthropoda; Insecta; Hymenoptera; Formicidae
Exons: 3
Source: RefSeq, a predicted model, not a curated record
ACGCAAAAGAAUAAAAGCUCUUGCCUUUCAAUUAGUAGAACCUGAACUUAAAAGACGUCUUACAACUCAAUAUAUUCAUAAGCCAUUGCGUUUAAUAACUUCAUCUAUUUUAAAAAUUGAAGAAACUGAAAGGUCUAAAAUUAUUUUGCCAGA